This 460-nucleotide ribosomal RNA is filed under the name uncultured bacterium. Its description in RNAcentral is "partial 16S ribosomal RNA". It matches the Rfam family "Bacterial small subunit ribosomal RNA", at positions 338 to 795 of the family's 1533-position model. The record is from RNAcentral.
CCUACUUUAGUCAUCAGUUAUUAAUAUUUUUCAAUUGCCUGAAGGCUGAACCAGCCAUUCCUCUUGAAGGUCAGUGCCCUAUGGGCGUUAAACUUCUUUUGUGCGGGAGCAAUAAUGGUCACGUGUGGCCAGACGAGAGUACCGUACGAAUAAGCAUCGGCUAACUCCGUGCCAGCAGCCGCGGUAAUACGGGGGAUGCAAGCGUUAUCCGGAUUUAUUGGGUUUAAAGGGUGCGUAGGCUGUGAGGUAAGUCAGCGGUGAAAUGCCCCCGCUCAACGGGGUGAAGUGCCAUUGAUACUGCCUUGCUGGAAUGCGGAUGCCGUGGGAGGAAUGUGUGGUGUAGCGGUGAAAUGCAUAGAUAUCACACAGAACACCGAUUGCGAAGGCAUCUCACGAAUCCGCGAUUGACGCUGAUGCACGAAAGCGUGGGUAUCAAACAGGAUUAGAUACCCGUGUAGUC